GAUGAACGCUGGCGGCGUGCCUAAUACAUGCAAGUCGAGCGAACGGACGAGAAGCUUGCUUCUCUGAUGUUAGCGGCGGACGGGUGAGUAACACGUGGAUAACCUACCUAUAAGACUGGGAUAACUUCGGGAAACCGGAGCUAAUACCGGAUAAUAUUUUGAACCGCAUGGUUCAAAAGUGAAAGACGGUCUUGCUGUCACUUAUAGAUGGAUCCGCGCUGCAUUAGCUAGUUGGUAAGGUAACGGCUUACCAAGGCAACGAUGCAUAGCCGACCUGAGAGGGUGAUCGGCCACACUGGAACUGAGACACGGUCCAGACUCCUACGGGAGGAAGCAGUAGGGAAUCUUCCGCAAUGGGCGAAAGCCUGACGUAGCAACGCCGCGUGAGUGAUGAAGGUCUUCGGAUCGUAAAACUCUGUUAUUAGGGAAGAACAUAUGUGUAAGUAACUGUGCACAUCUUGACGGUACCUAAUCAGAAAGCCACGGCUAACUACGUG
RNAcentral lists this ribosomal RNA (497 nucleotides) under uncultured bacterium. RNAcentral describes it as "partial 16S ribosomal RNA". It matches the Rfam family "Bacterial small subunit ribosomal RNA", at positions 28 to 507 of the family's 1533-position model. The record is from RNAcentral.